This 403-nucleotide transfer-messenger RNA is filed under the name Hyphomonadaceae bacterium. It matches the Rfam family "Alphaproteobacteria transfer-messenger RNA". From Rfam's summary of the family: Bacterial tmRNA, also known as 10Sa RNA or SsrA, is named for its dual tRNA and mRNA-like properties. Its role is to liberate the mRNA from a stalled ribosome. The record is from RNAcentral. Lineage: Bacteria; Pseudomonadati; Pseudomonadota; Alphaproteobacteria; Hyphomonadales; Hyphomonadaceae.
GCGCUUCCCCUGAGACGCGCGCGCGCCUAUAUUCCGACUCGUCCGGGCAACCGGACUAUGGCGAUAAACGCGCAGAGAUAGGCGGAUCGGACCCGGGUGCGAUGCCCGGCGGCUCCACCAUUUCAGGUGUCAGGCGCCAAAACUCAGGUGUCAGAUUCAUUCGCUGAUACCCGACACCCGACACCCUCGUUAUGGGGCCGAAAUAGGAUCGACGGACGUUGAAGGCUGCUGCUUUUGCUCGGGUGGUCCCGUUACAGGCCGAACAGCAUAGUUGCGAAUGACAACAACGCUGAGGAAUUCGCCCUCGCUGCGUAAGCAGCGCGGAGUUUUCCGACUCUCAAGUCCUACCGAGUAGCAUCGCUAGGCGGGGCCCCCCGGCGCCCGGCAACAGAAGCCGGGGAUU